UUGGAAUUUUCAUCCCAAAAAUCUAAAUUUUCAGGACCACAGCGCCUCAUCCCCCCAAAUCUUCAACUCCAAGCUCCUACUCCUCCCUCCACCGCCUCCCCCUCCUCUCCCUCUCCCUCCUCAACCUCACCCCAUGGCCAACUCUGAGUCCCCCAUGGCCACAGGAUCCCAACUCCAAAACCCUAACCCUAACCCCAAACCCCAAUUGCCCUCUCGCCCCCACCGCACCCAUGGCCGCGUCCUCAACCGCCCUCUUAACGCCGCUGGUGACGUCCGCCGCCACUACGACUUCCUCCGCGAGCUCGGCCGCGGCCAGUUCGGCGUCACCUACCUCAUCGCCGACAAGACGACCGGCGAUCGCUUCGCCUGCAAGUCGAUCCCCCUUUCUUUAAGCCUGAUGUUCCUCUGUUAACAGUUUGUAAGGAACACGUUUUUCCUUAUCCACCAAGUUUGCCUUCUAAAUUGCAACUUGCACCUCUCACAGAGACUGGAGUCAUCAAACAACUGGCAUCAGCCUUGAUUUCCAAGUUGACAGAGGAUAAAACUUCUGCUCUUCAGCAAAAUCAGAAACUUAGACAAGAACUGGUAUGUUUUUUUUAGUUCCUAUGGCAUGUUUAUCAUAUAUUUUUAAAGUAUGUUGGUCUUUUCUAGUUUAAAUUUUACUAGCCUGACUAGUAAUGAUAUUAGAUCUUCUAUUCCACCAAGUUGCUGGUUCGAUCUAUGCCAUUUAAUGAAUACAUGUGUGGACGCCAAAUUCUCUUCUUUAGUUUGAACAAUACACGUGAUAAAAAAAGCUGUUUUUAAUAUGUUUUCUGUCUUUAACUGCCCACAAAUUGUUUUGACUGUUAACCAACAAAUUGUCUUAUACAUGAUUAUCCCUUCACAGAAAUCAAUAGGUAAUGCAGUAAUAAAUUAAGUGGCUGUUAUGUAUACAUGAUUUGUAUAUUCCUUCACGGAAAUCAAUUGGUAAAGCAGUAAUAAAUUAAAUGGCAGUUAUGUAUCCCAAUGCUAGCC
Asparagus officinalis (garden asparagus) is the source of this 1014-nucleotide RNA transcript. It is a transcript of the gene named calcium-dependent protein kinase 1-like, with no coding region annotated. The transcript is spliced from 3 exons. Lineage: Eukaryota; Viridiplantae; Streptophyta; Magnoliopsida; Asparagales; Asparagaceae. The record is from RefSeq and is a predicted model, not a curated record.